This 1521-nucleotide ribosomal RNA is filed under the name Parabacteroides distasonis. Its description in RNAcentral is "Bacterial small subunit ribosomal RNA". It matches the Rfam family "Bacterial small subunit ribosomal RNA". The record is from RNAcentral. Lineage: Bacteria; Pseudomonadati; Bacteroidota; Bacteroidia; Bacteroidales; Tannerellaceae.
ACGAAGAGUUUGAUCCUGGCUCAGGAUGAACGCUAGCGACAGGCUUAACACAUGCAAGUCGAGGGGCAGCGGGGGUAGCGAUACCCGCCGGCGACCGGCGCACGGGUGAGUAACGCGUAUGCAACUUGCCUAUCAGAGGGGGAUAACCCGGCGAAAGUCGGACUAAUACCGCAUGAAGCAGGGGCCCCGCAUGGGGAUAUUUGCUAAAGAUUCAUCGCUGAUAGAUAGGCAUGCGUUCCAUUAGGCAGUUGGCGGGGUAACGGCCCACCAAACCGACGAUGGAUAGGGGUUCUGAGAGGAAGGUCCCCCACAUUGGUACUGAGACACGGACCAAACUCCUACGGGAGGCAGCAGUGAGGAAUAUUGGUCAAUGGGCGUAAGCCUGAACCAGCCAAGUCGCGUGAGGGAUGAAGGUUCUAUGGAUCGUAAACCUCUUUUAUAAGGGAAUAAAGUGCGGGACGUGUCCCGUUUUGUAUGUACCUUAUGAAUAAGGAUCGGCUAACUCCGUGCCAGCAGCCGCGGUAAUACGGAGGAUCCGAGCGUUAUCCGGAUUUAUUGGGUUUAAAGGGUGCGUAGGCGGCCUUUUAAGUCAGCGGUGAAAGUCUGUGGCUCAACCAUAGAAUUGCCGUUGAAACUGGGGGGCUUGAGUAUGUUUGAGGCAGGCGGAAUGCGUGGUGUAGCGGUGAAAUGCAUAGAUAUCACGCAGAACCCCGAUUGCGAAGGCAGCCUGCCAAGCCAUUACUGACGCUGAUGCACGAAAGCGUGGGGAUCAAACAGGAUUAGAUACCCUGGUAGUCCACGCAGUAAACGAUGAUCACUAGCUGUUUGCGAUACACUGUAAGCGGCACAGCGAAAGCGUUAAGUGAUCCACCUGGGGAGUACGCCGGCAACGGUGAAACUCAAAGGAAUUGACGGGGGCCCGCACAAGCGGAGGAACAUGUGGUUUAAUUCGAUGAUACGCGAGGAACCUUACCCGGGUUUGAACGCAUUCGGACCGAGGUGGAAACACCUUUUCUAGCAAUAGCCGUUUGCGAGGUGCUGCAUGGUUGUCGUCAGCUCGUGCCGUGAGGUGUCGGCUUAAGUGCCAUAACGAGCGCAACCCUUGCCACUAGUUACUAACAGGUAAAGCUGAGGACUCUGGUGGGACUGCCAGCGUAAGCUGCGAGGAAGGCGGGGAUGACGUCAAAUCAGCACGGCCCUUACAUCCGGGGCGACACACGUGUUACAAUGGCGUGGACAAAGGGAGGCCACCUGGCGACAGGGAGCGAAUCCCCAAACCACGUCUCAGUUCGGAUCGGAGUCUGCAACCCGACUCCGUGAAGCUGGAUUCGCUAGUAAUCGCGCAUCAGCCAUGGCGCGGUGAAUACGUUCCCGGGCCUUGUACACACCGCCCGUCAAGCCAUGGGAGCCGGGGGUACCUGAAGUCCGUAACCGCGAGGAUCGGCCUAGGGUAAAACUGGUGACUGGGGCUAAGUCGUAACAAGGUAGCCGUACCGGAAGGUGCGGCUGGAACACCUCCUU